AAAUUGAAGAGUUUGAUCAUGGCUCAGAUUGAACGCUGGCGGCAGGCCUAACACAUGCAAGUCGAGCGGUAGCACAGAGAGCUUGCUCUCGGGUGACGAGCGGCGGACGGGUGAGUAAUGUCUGGGAAACUGCCUGAUGGAGGGGGAUAACUACUGGAAACGGUAGCUAAUACCGCAUAANGUCGCAAGACCAAAGUGGGGGACCUUCGGGCCUCAUGCCAUCAGAUGUGCCCAGAUGGGAUUAGCUAGUAGGUGGGGUAANGGCUCACCUAGGCGACGAUCCCUAGCUGGUCUGAGAGGAUGACCAGCCACACUGGAACUGAGACACGGUCCAGACUCCUACGGGAGGCAGCAGUGGGGAAUAUUGCACAAUGGGCGCAAGCCUGAUGCAGCCAUGCCGCGUGUGUGAAGAAGGCCUUCGGGUUGUAAAGCACUUUCAGCGGGGAGGAAGGCGNUAAGGUUAAUAACCUNNUCGAUUGACGUUACCCGCAGAAGAAGCACCGGCUAACUCCGUGCCAGCAGCCGCGGUAAUACGGAGGGUGCAAGCGUUAAUCGGAAUUACUGGGCGUAAAGCGCACGCAGGCGGUCUGUCAAGUCGGAUGUGAAAUCCCCGGGCUNAACCUGGGAACUGCAUUCGAAACUGGCAGGCUAGAGUCUUGUAGAGGGGGGUAGAAUUCCAGGUGUAGCGGUGAAAUGCGUAGAGAUCUGGAGGAAUACCGGUGGCGAAGGCGGCCCCCUGGACAAAGACUGACGCUCAGGUGCGAAAGCGUGGGGAGCAAACAGGAUUAGAUACCCUGGUAGUCCACGCCGUAAACGAUGUCGAUUUGGAGGUUGUGCCCUUGAGGCGUGGCUUCCGGAGCUAACGCGUUAAAUCGACCGCCUGGGGAGUACGGCCGCAAGGUUAAAACUCAAAUGAAUUGACGGGGGCCCGCACAAGCGGUGGAGCAUGUGGUUUAAUUCGAUGCAACGCGAAGAACCUUACCUGGUCUUGACAUCCACAGAACUUUCCAGAGAUGGAUUGGUGCCUUCGGGAACUGUGAGACAGGUGCUGCAUGGCUGUCGUCAGCUCGUGUUGUGAAAUGUUGGGUUAAGUCCCGCAACGAGCGCAACCCUUAUCCUUUGUUGCCAGCGGU
This 1133-nucleotide ribosomal RNA is filed under the name Klebsiella pneumoniae. Its description in RNAcentral is "bacterial SSU rRNA". It matches the Rfam family "Bacterial small subunit ribosomal RNA", at positions 1 to 1125 of the family's 1533-position model. Lineage: Bacteria; Pseudomonadati; Pseudomonadota; Gammaproteobacteria; Enterobacterales; Enterobacteriaceae. The record is from RNAcentral.